GACGAACGCUGGCGGCGUGCUUAACACAUGCAAGUCGAGCGGAAAGGCCCUUUCGGGGGUACUCGAGCGGCGAACGGGUGAGUAACACGUGAGUAAUCUGCCCUUCACUUGGGGAUAACUACCGGAAACGGUGGCUAAUACCCGAUAUGACCAAUCACUGCAUGGUGUGUUGGUGGAAAGUUUUUUCGGUGGAGGAUGUGCUCGCGGCCUAUCAGCUUGUUGGUGGGGUAAUGGCCUACCAAGGCUUCGACGGGUAGCCGGCCUGAGAGGGUGACCGGCAACACUGGGACUGAGAAACGGCCCAGACUCCUACGGGAGGCAGCAGUGGGGAAUAUUGGACAAUGGGCGAAAGCCUGAUCCAGCAACGCCGCGUGAGGGAUGACGGCCUUCGGGUUGUAAACCUCUUUCAGCGGGGACGAAGCGCCGGUAAUGGUGGUGACGGUACCCGCAGAAGAAGCACCGGCCAACUACGUGCCAGCCGCCGCGGUAA
Molecule: ribosomal RNA, 490 nt
Filed under: uncultured bacterium
Lineage: Bacteria
Description: partial 16S ribosomal RNA
Rfam family: Bacterial small subunit ribosomal RNA
Source: RNAcentral